CUUUAUGGCGGGCGGUGCGCGGAGGCCGCAAGGCCUGCCGGCCCUCGGACCGGUCUGCUAACCGCGCAUCGUCCGCCACCUGC
Molecule: non-coding RNA, 83 nt
Filed under: Xanthomonas arboricola
Lineage: Bacteria; Pseudomonadati; Pseudomonadota; Gammaproteobacteria; Lysobacterales; Lysobacteraceae
Also listed under: 1 other name
Source: RNAcentral